Molecule: ribosomal RNA, 351 nt
Filed under: uncultured bacterium
Lineage: Bacteria
Description: bacterial SSU rRNA
Rfam family: Bacterial small subunit ribosomal RNA
Source: RNAcentral
AGAGUUUGAUCAUGGCUCAGGAUGAACGCUAGCUACAGGCUUAACACAUGCAAGUCGAGGGGAAACGACAUCGAAAGCUUGCUUUUGAUGGGCGUCGACCGGCGCACGGGUGAGUAACGCGUAUCCAACCUGCCCACCACUUGGGGAUAACCUUGCGAAAGUAAGACUAAUACCCAAUGACGUCUCUAGAAGACAUCUGAAAGGGAUUAAAGAUUUAUCGGUGAUGGAUGGGGAUGCGUCUGAUUAGCUUGUUGGCGGGGUAACGGCCACAAGGCUACGAUCAGUAGGGGUUCUGAGAGAAAGGUCCCCACAUUGGAACUGAGACCACGGUCCAAACUCCUACGGGAGGCA